RNAcentral lists this ribosomal RNA (393 nucleotides) under uncultured bacterium. RNAcentral describes it as "bacterial SSU rRNA". It matches the Rfam family "Bacterial small subunit ribosomal RNA", at positions 28 to 407 of the family's 1533-position model. The record is from RNAcentral.
GAUGAGCGCUGGCGGCGUGCCUAACACAUGCAAGUCGAACGAAGCACCUUGGACAGAUUCUUCGGAUGAAGUCUUUGGCGACUGAGUGGCGGACGGGUGAGUAACGCGUGGGUAACCUGCCUCAUACAGGGGGAUAACAGUUAGAAAUGGCUGCUAAUACCGCAUAAGCGCACGGUACUGCAUGGUACAGUGUGAAAAACUCCGGUGGUAUGAGAUGGACCCGCGUUGGAUUAGCUAGUUGGCAGGUAACGCUACCAAGGCGACGAUCCAUAGCCGGCCUGAGAGGGUGACGGCCACAUUGGGACUGAGACACGGGCCCAGGACUCCUACGGGAGCAGCAGUGGGGAAUAUGCACAAUGGGGGAAACCCUGAUGCAGCGACGCCGCGUGAGCG